UUUGAUUCUGGCUCAGGAUGAACGCUAGCUACAGGCUUAACACAUGCAAGUCGAGGGGCAGCGGGAUUGAAGCUUGCUUCAAUUGCCGGCGACCGGCGCACGGGUGAGUAACGCGUAUCCAAUCUUCCGUACACUCAGGGAUAGCCUUUCGAAAGAAAGAUUAAUACCUGAUAGUAUCUUAAGCACACAUGUAAUUAAGAUUAAAGAUUUAUCGGUGUACGAUGGGGAUGCGUUCCAUUAGGUAGUAGGCGGGGUAACGGCCCACCUAGCCAACGAUGGAUAGGGGUUCUGAGAGGAAGGUCCCCCACAUUGGAACUGAGACACGGUCCAAACUCCUACGGGAGGCAGCAGUGAGGAAUAUUGGUCAAUGGACGAGAGUCUGAACCAGCCAAGUAGCGUGAAGGAUGAAGGUCCUACGGAUUGUAAACUUCUUUUAUAAGGGAAUAAACCCUCCCACGUGUGGGAGCUUGUAUGUACCUUAUGAAUAAGCAUCGGCUAACUCCGUGCCAGCAGCCGCGGUAAUACGGAGGAUGCGAGCGUUAUCCGGAUUUAUUGGGUUUAAAGGGAGCGCAGACGGGUCGUUAAGUCAGCUGUGAAAGUUUGGGGCUCAACCUUAAAAUUGCAGUUGAUACUGGCGUCCUUGAGUGCGGUUGAGGUGUGCGGAAUUCGUGGUGUAGCGGUGAAAUGCUUAGAUAUCACGAAGAACUCCGAUUGCGAAGGCAGCACACUAAUCCGUAACUGACGUUCAUGCUCGAAAGUGUGGGUAUCAAACAGGAUUAGAUACCCUGGUAGUCCACACGGUAAACGAUGGAUACUCGCUGUUGGCGAUAUACUGUCAGCGGCUUAGCGAAAGCGUUAAGUAUCCCACCUGGGGAGUACGCCGGCAACG
RNAcentral lists this ribosomal RNA (889 nucleotides) under uncultured Bacillota bacterium. Its description in RNAcentral is "bacterial SSU rRNA". It matches the Rfam family "Bacterial small subunit ribosomal RNA", at positions 12 to 893 of the family's 1533-position model. The record is from RNAcentral. Lineage: Bacteria; Bacillati; Bacillota.